Molecule: long non-coding RNA, 517 nt
Filed under: Coturnix japonica (Japanese quail)
Lineage: Eukaryota; Metazoa; Chordata; Aves; Galliformes; Phasianidae
Description: lncRNA (ENSCJPG00005001541.1)
Source: RNAcentral
CCCCCCUAUACCCGCAAUACUCUUCCCAUAGGACCGCCCAUAUCCCCCCCUAAUAGUCACCCCAUAUCCCCCCAUAUAGACCCCAUAUCACUCCCCAUAUCCCCCAUAUCUCCCCCUAUCUCCCCAUAUAACCCUCAUAUAACCCCAUAUAUCCCGUACCCACAAACUCAGUUGCCGCUAUAGGGUCCUCCCUGAGCUGUGCCCCCCGUGGCCACCCCAAUAGGACACAGUUGGGUCUCAGUGCCCCCAACCUCGCCAGCAUUGAACCACAACCUGCAGCGCGUCACGAUCCCGACGGGAAACAACGGCCUGGACAAAGCCCCCGGCCCCAUAAGUGGAAAGGGCUCUUUUGAACGCAGGGACUGUAUGGGAUAAUAUAUGGGGUAAUAUAUAGGGUUAUUAUAGGAUAUAUGGGGAUAUAUGGGGUUAUAUGGGGUUAUUAUGGGGGCGUUAAUAUGGGGGGAACUAACUGGGGAUAUGGGGUUAUAUGGGGUUACUUUAUGGGGGAUAUUUUAGC